GAGAAAUCAUCAAUAUCAUAAAUGAGACUGCAAAAACAUUUAAUACAACUACCCCAAGGACUAGUAGUACAAGUCAUGAGCCACAGUGAUUUGGAUUUACAAAACUAAUGUGAGAGAUAAAUACAAUAUUUGUUUGAAAGUUACAUAAAGAGAAAUGAAAUCCUAAGUUACUAUGAACAAAAAGUAGCUUGAAUCCGGCACGCUGGUACAACUCUGAUGUAAAGCUCCGUGUUUGCAGCAACUCAACUCCAGAAUCUGCACGCAAGGUGUAAAAGUGUAGUAUGAGUACAACUUACCCCAUAUAUUCAGUAAGUAUCUUGACUAACAUUAGAGAAGCAAUGGCGAGGUUUUUAAGGCAAAAGACACUCACUUUGUAGAACUUGUGCAGCUCAAUAACAUGUAUAAUACAGGAAAAAUAUUCCAGAAAGACAAUCACAGAGUAAAGAAUAUCAACAUUAAAGGUGCACAACUGGGAUGAGGUAAUAAACAAACUCUACCAAUUAGAUAUGAUCAACAAAUACAACUUGCACCAACCCCAGCUCACAAAGAGGUAUGUACUACAUAAAUUUUGUGCUCAAUGCUCAUACAUGACUAUAAAUUUGUGCACAACAUGAUCUGAUUCCAUAUCAAAUGCUAAAUAACAUGUUCAAGAGAACCUUUCAAGAAUCAACUAUAUCAAUGUUCGAUGGCAACUUUCUUAUCUUGACAAUCCGAUAUGCUACCAAAAACUCAACAAAAGAUAAGAUAUCAACUCCACGUAGGUUAACCUAUUUUUACAACAAAAUUAUCAAAUAGAAGAGAAGGCAUAUGAAAUAGCCUGACGAAGCAAAUUCAAUAAUUUAUGAAAAUACAACACGAAGUUCAAGUGAAAACGAGUACAGAAUUAACAAAUUACUUCCAUCCCAUCACAACAAUAAUAUCAGAAAUGACAUCCAGAAACAUCACACAAUCUCAGCAAGAAUAACCCCCAAAACUAUCACAUACAACAUCACAGUACAAUCCGCAUAUCACCGCAUGUACUAAAAUAAAGUAAUUUCCCGCCUUGUCUCGCCAUGCGCAUAUUAACAAAUCAUUCCACCUUGUCUAGCUACAUGUGCAAAUCUGAUAUAACCCUCAUUGUCUAGCCACAUGUGCAAUGUCAACAAUAAUAAUUUCAUGGCAAAGACCUCGUGCUGACACCCCAAUCACAAUCGCACCUUGUGCCACAAUAUCAUCACAAUCGCACGGUAAAGACCUCGUGCCAUAAUAUCAUCACAAUCAAUCCGCUCAACAUGUCCAUAAGUGCCAUAAUCACAACAAUACAAUACAAUAAUUUAUCAUCAAGAGGCAUAUCCUCAUAACUCAUCAAUAAACCUCACAAGGACAUGAAAACAAUAAAAAUGAGGAUAAGGCAUGACUACGACUAAGUAAAGUAUAGAAACCAAG
This 1425-nucleotide long non-coding RNA is filed under the name Nicotiana tabacum (common tobacco). RNAcentral describes it as "long non-coding RNA (NTAB_LNC000390)". Lineage: Eukaryota; Viridiplantae; Streptophyta; Magnoliopsida; Solanales; Solanaceae. The record is from RNAcentral.